RNAcentral lists this ribosomal RNA (995 nucleotides) under human gut metagenome. Its description in RNAcentral is "bacterial LSU rRNA". It matches the Rfam family "Bacterial large subunit ribosomal RNA", at positions 1931 to 2925 of the family's 2925-position model. The record is from RNAcentral.
CGGCCGUAACUAUAACGGUCCUAAGGUAGCGAAAUUCCUUGUCAGGUAAGUUCUGACCCGCACGAAUGGCGUAACGAUUUGGGCACUGUCUCAACAGCCCGCCCGGCGAAAUUGUAGUACCGGUGAAGAUGCCGGUUUCCCGCAACUAGACGGAAAGACCCCAUGGAGCUUCACUGUAGCUUGAUAUUGGAUCUCGGUAUUCCAUGUACAGGAUAGGUGGGAGACUUGGAAGUAAGCGCGCCAGCGUUUAUGGAGUCAACCUUGGGAUACCACUCUUGGGAUAUUGGGAUUCUAACCUGCGACCAUGAAUCUGGUCGGGGGACACUGUCAGGUGGGCAGUUUGACUGGGGCGGUCGCCUCCAAAAGAGUAACGGAGGCGCUCAAAGGUUCGUUCAGCACGGAUGGAAAUCGUGCACUGAGUGUAAACGCAUAAACGAGCCUAACUGCGAGAAUGACGGUUCGAGCAGUAACGAAAGUUGGAGUUAGUGAUCCGGCGGUAUGUGAAUGGAAAUGCCGUCGCUCAACGGAUAAAAGCUACCCUGGGGAUAACAGGCUGAUCUCCCCCAAGAGUCCACAUCGACGGGGAGGUUUGGCACCUCGAUGUCGGCUCAUCGCAUCCUGGGGCUGAAUUCGGUCCCAAGGGUUUGGCUGUUCGCCAAUUAAAGCGGUACGCGAGCUGGGUUCAGAACGUCGUGAGACAGUUCGGUCCCUAUCUGUUGCGGGCGCAGGAAUAUUGAGAGGAGCUGUCCUUAGUACGAGAGGACCGGGAUGGACGUACCGCUGGUGCACCAGUUGUUCUGCCAAGGGCAUAGCUGGGUAGCUAAGUACGGACGAGAUAAACGCUGAAGGCAUCUAAGCGUGAAACUCCCCUCGAGAUAAGUGUUCCCAUCCUUCGGGAGUAAGGCCCCUUGUAGACUACAAGGUUGAUAGGUCAGGAGUGGAAGUGCAGUAAUGUAUGGAGCGGACUGAUACUAAUAGGCCGAGGGCUUGACCUU